GAUGAACGCUGGCGGCGUGCCUAAUACAUGCAAGUCGAGCGAACGGACGAGAAGCUUGCUUCUCUGAUGUUAGCGGCGGACGGGUGAGUAACACGUGGAUAACCUACCUAUAAGACUGGGAUAACUUCGGGAAACCGGAGCUAAUACCGGAUAAUAUUUUGAACCGCAUGGUUCAAAAGUGAAAGACGGUCUUGCUGUCACUUAUAGAUGGAUCCGCGCUGCAUUAGCUAGUUGGUAAGGUAACGGCUUACCAAGGCAACGAUGCAUAGCCGACCCGAGAGGGAGACUGGCUAAAAGGGAAAUGAGACCAGCUCAGGAAUACGACGGGAGGGAGCAGUAGGGCAGGUUACGUAAAGGUCGAAAGCUGGAAGGAGAAAGUGAGUGGGAGUAAUGAUAGUUAUCGGAUCGUAAAAACAUGUUAUUAGGGAAGAACAAAAGUGUAAGUAACUAUGACGGGCUUGACGGAGCCUAAUUAGAGGGGCAGGGCUAAGUACGGG
Molecule: ribosomal RNA, 497 nt
Filed under: uncultured bacterium
Lineage: Bacteria
Description: partial 16S ribosomal RNA
Rfam family: Bacterial small subunit ribosomal RNA
Source: RNAcentral